This 26-nucleotide unclassified non-coding RNA is filed under the name Mus musculus (house mouse). RNAcentral's name for it is "oocyte_clustered_small_RNA540". Lineage: Eukaryota; Metazoa; Chordata; Mammalia; Rodentia; Muridae. The record is from RNAcentral.
UGUAAGAGUCACCCCUCCCCCACCCC